GGGGUUGUGACUCAGUGGUAGAGUGCCCAUCUAGCAUGUGUGGGGUGCUGGGCUCGAUCCUCAGCACCACA
Molecule: transfer RNA, 71 nt
Filed under: Marmota monax (woodchuck)
Lineage: Eukaryota; Metazoa; Chordata; Mammalia; Rodentia; Sciuridae
Description: tRNA.Ala
Source: RNAcentral